CAAUAGCGUAUAUUAAAGUUGUUGCGGUUAAAAGCUCGUAGUUGGAUUUCUGCUGAGGACGACCGGUCCGCCUCCGGGUGAGCAUCUGGUUCGGCCUUGGCAUCUUCUUGGUGAACGUAUCUGCACUUGACUGUGCGGUGCGGUACCCAGGACUUUUUUACUUUGAAAAAUUAAGAGUGUUUAAAGCAGGCUUUGCUAUGAAUACAUUAGCAUGGAAUAAUAAUCUAGGACUUCGGUUCUAUUUUGUUGGUUUCUAGUACUGAAGUAAUGAUUGAUAGGGAUAGUUGGGGGUGCUAGUAUUGGGCGGCCAGAGGUGAAAUUCUUGGAUUCGCUCAAGACUAACUUAUGCGAAAGCAUUCACCAAGGAUGUCUUCUUUAAUCAAGAACGAAAGUUGGGGGAUGCGAGAUGAUUAUGAU
This 417-nucleotide ribosomal RNA is filed under the name uncultured eukaryote. RNAcentral's name for it is "bacterial SSU rRNA". It matches the Rfam family "Eukaryotic small subunit ribosomal RNA", at positions 592 to 1013 of the family's 1831-position model. The record is from RNAcentral.